GCGCCCGUAGCUCAGUUGGUUAGAGUGCAUGCUUGACAUGCAUGAGGUCGCUGGUUCGAGUCCAGCCGGGCGCAC
RNAcentral lists this transfer RNA (75 nucleotides) under Maioricimonas rarisocia. RNAcentral's name for it is "Planctomycetes bacterium Mal4 tRNA-Val". It matches the Rfam family "tRNA". From Rfam's summary of the family: Transfer RNA (tRNA) molecules are approximately 80 nucleotides in length. Their secondary structure includes four short double-helical elements and three loops (D, anti-codon, and T loops). Further hydrogen bonds mediate the characteristic L-shaped molecular structure. tRNAs have two regions of fundamental functional importance: the anti-codon, which is responsible for specific mRNA codon recognition, and the 3' end, to which the tRNAs corresponding amino acid is attached (by aminoacyl-tRNA synthetases). tRNAs cope with the degeneracy of the genetic code in two manners: having more than one tRNA (with a specific anti-codon) for a particular amino acid; and 'wobble' base-pairing, i.e. permitting non-standard base-pairing at the 3rd anti-codon position. The record is from RNAcentral. Lineage: Bacteria; Pseudomonadati; Planctomycetota; Planctomycetia; Planctomycetales; Planctomycetaceae.